GGCAUAUGACCAAUAAGAACCUACCUAGCAAAAGAGCGUUUAUUUUUUAGUAUUAGCCUAUACAUGUAAACAUAAUAAGACUAACUCCCUAUUUACUUUGAUGGAUUAGAGCUUUGAAAUCUCCCUUGAUGAUAACCCAUCAUUUAAGCUUGUUUUGCUUGAUUCAUAUUCCAUUGAAAAGGUAAGAUAGUAGAAAUCAGUCUUAAGGAUAGAAAUAUUCAAUCAUAUACAUCUUAUCAAUCAUGCUAAGUUAACAGCAUCAUGUUAGGUUUAUAUGAAAACCGAGCAGCCUAACAUGCUUACAAUAUAAUUGUGUUUUUGUACAAUACAUACCUAUUCAUAUGGUUAUUUUAUCUGUAUUGUUCGGUAACCAGAUUGUAUAAUUGAAAUGUGGAAUUUGUAUAUUUACAUGACCCUCAAAUUAAGUAAAACGACUACAUGUGUAAAAGGAGCUAAAUUUCUUCGUAGAUCAUUAACGUAAUCUAAUUUUCAAUCUUAAUCCCCUUCAUUAAACCAUAAUCUUGACUAUAAGCAUCGGAAGAACAUUUACCAGUUAUUAGAUGGUUGUAGAACCAAGAGGCUGAGGAAGUGGAGAUGGAUN
Molecule: long non-coding RNA, 601 nt
Filed under: Salvia miltiorrhiza (redroot sage)
Lineage: Eukaryota; Viridiplantae; Streptophyta; Magnoliopsida; Lamiales; Lamiaceae
Description: long non-coding RNA (SMIL_LNC006371)
Source: RNAcentral